RNAcentral lists this ribosomal RNA (505 nucleotides) under uncultured bacterium. RNAcentral describes it as "partial 16S ribosomal RNA". It matches the Rfam family "Bacterial small subunit ribosomal RNA", at positions 28 to 507 of the family's 1533-position model. The record is from RNAcentral.
GACGAACGCUGGCGGCGUGCCUAAUACAUGCAAGUAGAACGCACAGUUUAUACCGUAGCUUGCUACACCAUAGACUGUGAGUUGCGAACGGGUGAGUAACGCGUAGGUAACCUGCCUGGUAGCGGGGGAUAACUAUUGGAAACGAUAGCUAAUACCGCAUAAUAUUAAUUAUUGCAUGAUAAUUAAUUGAAAGGUGCAAUUGCACCACUACCAGAUGGACCUGCGUUGUAUUAGCUAGUAGGGGAGGUAACGGCUCACCUAGGCGACGAUACAUAGCCGACCUGAGAGGGUGAUCGGCCACACUGGGACUGAGACACGGCCCAGGAUCCUACGGGAGGCAGCAGUAGGGAAUCUUCGGGAAUGGACGGAAGGCUGACCGAGCAACGCCGCGUGAGUGAAGAAGGUUUUCGGAUCGUAAAGCUCUGUUGUAAGAGAAGAACGGGUGUGAGAGUGGAAAGUUCACACUGUGACGGUAUCUUACCAGAAAGGGACGGCUAACUACGUG